Molecule: ribosomal RNA, 533 nt
Filed under: Fusarium sp. NRRL 26803
Lineage: Eukaryota; Fungi; Ascomycota; Sordariomycetes; Hypocreales; Nectriaceae
Description: eukaryotic LSU rRNA
Rfam family: Eukaryotic large subunit ribosomal RNA
Source: RNAcentral
CAACAGGGAUUGCCCUAGUAACGGCGAGUGAAGCGGCAACAGCUCAAAUUUGAAAUCUGGCCCCUGGGUCCGAGUUGUAAUUUGUAGAGGAUGCUUUUGGUGCGGUGCCUUCCGAGUUCCCUGGAACGGGACGCCAUAGAGGGUGAGAGCCCCGUCUGGUCGGAUACCAAUCCUCUGUAAAGCUCCUUCGACGAGUCGAGUAGUUUGGGAAUGCUGCUCUAAAUGGGAGGUAUAUGUCUUCUAAAGCUAAAUAUUGGCCAGAGACCGAUAGCGCACAAGUAGAGUGAUCGAAAGAUGAAAAGCACUUUGAAAAGAGGGUUAAACAGUACGUGAAAUUGUUGAAAGGGAAGCGCUUGUGACCAGACUUGGGCCCGGUUAAUCAUCCACCGUUCUCGGUGGUGCACUUGGCCGGCCCAGGCCAGCAUCAGUUCGGCGCGGGGGAUAAAGGCGUCGGGAAUGUGGCUCCCCCGGGAGUGUUAUAGCCCGUCGUGUAAUACCCUGCGCUGGACUGAGGUUCGCGCAUCUGCAAGGAU